CCCUUAGACACUCUAGGCGGCACGCGCGCUACAAUGGGUGGAAGAACGUGUUACCGCCUCCGAAAGGAGGGGUGAAUCACGAAUUCUUGCCCGUGAAUGGGAUAGUUUGUUGCAAUUUUCGGACUUGAACUAGGAAUCCCUUGUAAACAUGCUCAAGAAUAGCGUGUUGAAUACGUCCCUGCCGUUUGUACACACCGCCCGUCGUUUCUUCCGACUGAUACUCAUUGUGAGUUGCAAGGACCCUUUAUUGGGAAAUUGCUGCAAAUGCUUUGUAUUGGAGGAAGAAAAAGUCGUAACA
This 298-nucleotide ribosomal RNA is filed under the name uncultured eukaryote. RNAcentral's name for it is "partial 18S ribosomal RNA". It matches the Rfam family "Eukaryotic small subunit ribosomal RNA", at positions 1470 to 1796 of the family's 1831-position model. The record is from RNAcentral.